AAUAGUGACAAGAGUGGUUGAAGUAGGUAAUAACUGUGACUUUUAGAGAGCUAGUGGUGGUGAGAACUAGUAGCAACUAUUACUGAAUUACGGCUAUAAUCAGACUCUUGCGUUUAAUAUGCGUUAAAUAUUGGAAAGUGAUACUUGCAGAUAGUAAGUAUAACUUGGGUGGUACCACGGUAAUAAUCGUCCCAAAA
RNAcentral lists this non-coding RNA (197 nucleotides) under Aerococcus urinaehominis. RNAcentral's name for it is "T-box sequence". It matches the Rfam family "T-box leader". From Rfam's summary of the family: Uncharged tRNA acts as the effector for transcription antitermination of genes in the T-box leader family. Lineage: Bacteria; Bacillati; Bacillota; Bacilli; Lactobacillales; Aerococcaceae. The record is from RNAcentral.